This 870-nucleotide ribosomal RNA is filed under the name uncultured euryarchaeote. Its description in RNAcentral is "bacterial SSU rRNA". It matches the Rfam family "Archaeal small subunit ribosomal RNA", at positions 1 to 879 of the family's 1478-position model. Lineage: Archaea; Methanobacteriati; Methanobacteriota. The record is from RNAcentral.
UCCGGUUGAUCCCGCCGGAAGCUACCGCUAUUGGAGUUCGAUUAAGCCAUGCGAGUCUAGAGGCCUAGCCACGGCGUACCGCUCAGUAACACGUGGGUAACCUACCCUAUGCUGGGGGAUAAGCUCGGGAAACUGAGAAUAAUACCCCAUAGUCCACUACGCCUGGAACGGUGAGUGGAUCAAAGCUCCGGCGGCAUAGGAUGGGCCUGCGGCGUAUCAGGUUGUAGGGGGUGUAACGUACCCUCUAGCCAUCCACGCGUACGGGUGUUGGGAGACAUUGCCCGGAGAUGGAUUCUGAGACACGAAUCCAGACCCUACGGGGUGCAGCAGGCGCGAAAACUUGGCAAUGCGAGAAAUCGUGACCAGGGAACUCCAAGUGGCAGGGGUAAGACCCUGUCUUUUUCCGACUCUAAAUAGGUCGGCGAAUAAGGGGUGGGUAAGGACGGUGCCAGCCGCCGCGGUAAUACCGGCGCCUCAAGUGGUAGUCGCUUUUAUUGGGCCUAAAACGUCCGUAGCCGGUCUGGUACAUUCGUGGGUAAAUCAACUCGCUUAACGAGUUGAAUUCUGCGAGGACGGCCAGACUUGGGACCGGGAGAGGUGUGGGGUACUCUCAGGGUAGGGGUAAAAUCCUGUCAUCCUGAGAGGACCACCUGUUGCGAAGGCUCCACACUAGAACGGAUCCGACGGUCAGGGACGAAGCCUAGGGGCACGAACCGGAUUAGAUACCCGGGUAGUCCUAGGUGUAAACGCUGUGGACUUGAUGUUGGGGACGCUCCGAGCGUUCUCAGUGUCGAAGCGAAAGGUGAUAAGUCCACUGCCUGGGGAGUACGGUCGCAAGGCUGAAACUUAAAGGAAUUGGCGGGGCAGCAC